This 78-nucleotide microRNA precursor is filed under the name Trichobilharzia regenti. RNAcentral's name for it is "mir-3492 microRNA precursor family". It matches the Rfam family "mir-3492 microRNA precursor family". Lineage: Eukaryota; Metazoa; Platyhelminthes; Trematoda; Strigeidida; Schistosomatidae. The record is from Rfam by way of RNAcentral.
AGCCCUGUGUAUCCGUGCUGAGAUUUCGUCAACGACCAACCCAUUGGGGCUGAUGUAACUUCCAAAAUAAGUGAAUUG